RNAcentral lists this ribosomal RNA (520 nucleotides) under uncultured Glomus. RNAcentral's name for it is "SSU rRNA". It matches the Rfam family "Eukaryotic small subunit ribosomal RNA", at positions 569 to 1089 of the family's 1831-position model. The record is from RNAcentral. Lineage: Eukaryota; Fungi; Glomeromycota; Glomeromycetes; Glomerales; Glomeraceae.
AGCAGCCGCGGUAAUUCCAGCUCCAAUAGCGUAUAUUAAAGUUGUUGCAGUUAAAAAGCUCGUAGUUGAAUUUCGGGAUUAGUAAGUUGGUCGUGCCUCUGGUAUGUACUGGCUUUACUGGUUCCUCCUUCUUGAAGAACUGUAAUGUCAUUAAUUUGGUGUUGCAGGGAAACAGGACUGUUACUUUGAAAAAAUUAGAGUGUUUAAAGCAGGCUAACGCUUGAAUACAUUAGCAUGGAAUAAUGAAAUAGGACGUUUGAUCCUAUUUUGUUGGUUUCUAGGAUUGACGUAAUGAUUAAUAGGGAUAGUUGGGGGCAUUAGUAUUCAAUUGUCAGAGGUGAAAUUCUUGGAUUUAUUGAAGACUAACUACUGCGAAAGCAUUUGCCAAGGAUGUUUUCAUUAAUCAAGAACGAAAGUUAGGGGAUCGAAGACGAUCAGAUACCGUCGUAGUCUUAACCAUAAACUAUGCCGACUAGGGAUCGGAUGAUGUUAAUUUUUUAAUGUACUCAUUCGACGCCUU